Molecule: ribosomal RNA, 402 nt
Filed under: uncultured bacterium
Lineage: Bacteria
Description: bacterial SSU rRNA
Rfam family: Bacterial small subunit ribosomal RNA
Source: RNAcentral
UGGGGAAUCUUGCACAAUGGGGGAAACCCUGAUGCAGCGACGCCGCGUGAACGAUGAAGCCCUUCGGGGUGUAAAGUUCUUUCGACAGGAACGAUAAUGACGGUACCUGGAGAAGAAGCUGCGGCUAACUACGUGCCAGCAGCCGCGGUAAUACGUAGGCAGCGAGCGUUGUUCGGAGUUGCUGGGCGUAAAGAGUGCGUAGGCGGCGAGCCAAGUUUGGUGUGAAAUCUCCCGGCUUAACCGGGAGGGUGCGCCGAAAACUGGUUGGCUGGAGUAUGGGAGAGNAAAGCGGAAUUCCUGGUGUAGCGGUGAAAUGCGUAGAUAUCAGGAGGAACACCUGCGGUGUAGACAGCUUUCUGGACCAAAACUGACGCUGAGGCACGAAAGCGUGGGUAGCAAACA